RNAcentral lists this transfer RNA (85 nucleotides) under Felis catus (domestic cat). It matches the Rfam family "tRNA". Rfam says of the family: Transfer RNA (tRNA) molecules are approximately 80 nucleotides in length. Their secondary structure includes four short double-helical elements and three loops (D, anti-codon, and T loops). The record is from Rfam by way of RNAcentral. Lineage: Eukaryota; Metazoa; Chordata; Mammalia; Carnivora; Felidae.
ACCUGGAUGGCUCAGUUGGUUGAGCAUCUGACUUCGGCUCAGAUCAUGAUCUCCCAGUUUGUGGGUUCAAACCCCACAUCAGGCU